CAUUAGAUGACUGAAAGCAAGUAUUAGCCUCUUAAGCUAUUUUAUAGUAAUUAGCAACUACUUCUAAUGA
Molecule: transfer RNA, 70 nt
Filed under: Pyrocoelia thibetana
Lineage: Eukaryota; Metazoa; Arthropoda; Insecta; Coleoptera; Lampyridae
Description: tRNA-Lys
Source: RNAcentral